Molecule: ribosomal RNA, 276 nt
Filed under: uncultured bacterium
Lineage: Bacteria
Description: partial 16S ribosomal RNA
Rfam family: Bacterial small subunit ribosomal RNA
Source: RNAcentral
UGCCUACGGGGGGCAGCAGUAGGGAAUCUUCCACAAUGGGCGAAACCCUGACGCAGCAACGCCGCGUGCGGGAUGACGGCCUUCGGGUUGUAAACCGCCUUCAGCAGGGAAGAACAUCGACGGUACCUGCAGAAGAAGCCCCGGCUAACUACGUGCCAGCAGCCGCGGUAAUACGUAGGGGGCGAGCGUUAUCCGGAUUCAUUGGGCGUAAAGCGCGCGUAGGCGGGUGCCUAAGCGGGACCUCUAACCUCGGGGCUCAACCCCGAGCCGGGUCCC